UUUAAGUUCAACCAUAAGUUUCCAUGCCCAACUUUAACUGUCUGUCUUAUUUAAAAAAUUUUUAUAAUUAGUAUUUUUAUUGGUAUAAGAUGAUAAAACAUGAAUAGUAUGUGACUUAUGUUUUUAAUUUUUUUUAAAAAAAAUUUCAAAUAAAACGGACGGUCAAACUUGUGCACGAAAAAUCAUGGCUGCACUUAAA
Oryza glumipatula is the source of this 199-nucleotide non-coding RNA. NCBI's taxonomy places the organism in Eukaryota, Viridiplantae, Streptophyta, Magnoliopsida, Poales, Poaceae. The record is from Rfam.